Long non-coding RNA from Drosophila mojavensis, 465 nucleotides. RefSeq lists it as uncharacterized. The record is from RefSeq and is a predicted model, not a curated record. The transcript is spliced from 2 exons. NCBI's taxonomy places the organism in Eukaryota, Metazoa, Arthropoda, Insecta, Diptera, Drosophilidae.
UAGACAUGGCAAUAGCUAUAGAUGUUGCUAUAGCUAUAGCCGCAGCAGCUUUCAGUGUCGACGUCAGUUUGCCGUGGCAAGCCAAAGCUUCAGGUCGUCGUGUCCGUCUGCCAUUUCGCGCUCGUCACACAGCCAACCGAUUGGCAAUCGCAGUUUUGUGCUAACUUCGUGCAGGUCGCUGACGCGCGCGCUCAGUUCUUGUGCGAACGGCAUCAGGAUAACACGCAUUGUCUAUUCCACACGGCCGACGACAAACGGGCGGCCAUUUCGUAAGACGUCGCAACCGUCGCAUUGUGUAAUAAUUUGCCUCGCAAUGAUAAAAAUUAAAUUUAAUGUUCUAACAAAGUCCGGAACUCUAUAGCUUUUAUCACGACUCGUGCGGACCCUAUUUAAAUAACAACGUGAAAAAGAAAAAUGUAUACAAAAUAGCAGCGAGAGUCAAUUAAAAAUGAAACAAUAAAAGCG